Long non-coding RNA from Oncorhynchus keta (chum salmon), 1143 nucleotides. RefSeq lists it as uncharacterized. NCBI's taxonomy places the organism in Eukaryota, Metazoa, Chordata, Actinopteri, Salmoniformes, Salmonidae. The record is from RefSeq and is a predicted model, not a curated record. The transcript is spliced from 5 exons.
CCGCGUCGAGGACGGACGAGGUUGACGCCCCGCGUAGAGGACGGACGAGGUUGACGCCCCGCGUAGAGGACGGACGAGGUUGACGCCCCGCGUAGAGGACGGACGAGGUUGACGCCCCGCGUAGAGGACGGACGAGGUUGACGCCCCGCGUAGAGGACGGACGAGGUUGACGCCCCGCGUAGAGGACGGACGAGGUUGACGCCCCGCGUAGAGGACGGACGAGGUUAACGCCCCGCGUAGAGGACGGACGAGGUUAACGCCCCGCGUAGAGGACGGACGAGGUUAACGCCCCGCGUAGAGGACGGACGAGGUUAACGCCCCGCGUAGAGGACGGACGAGGUUAACGCCCCGCGUAGAGGACGGACGAGGUAACGCCCCACGUAGAGGACGGACGAGGUAACGCCCCACGUAGAGGACGGACGAGGUAACGCCCCACGUAGAGGACGGACGAGGUAACGCCCCACGUAGAGGACGGACGAGGUAACGCCCCACGUAGAGGACGGACGAGGUAACGCCCCACGUAGAAGGACGGACGAGGUAACGCCCCACGUAGAGGACGGACGAGGUAACGCCCCACGUAGAGGACGGACGAGGUAACACGCGGUAACGCCCCACGCGGUAACGGCCCACGUAGAGGACGGACGAGGUAACACGCGGUAACGCCCCACGCGGUAACGCCCCACGCGGUAACGCCCCACGCGGUCAGAGGACACAGUAUUUUCCUUUGUGUGUUUCACACAGCCAGCCACAUGGAGUCGUGGUGCAUAGUAGACUAUUUACUGUGCUUUGAUUGACAACUAAACAGCAAGUGUUGACUAGUUUAUAAAGUGUAAAACUGACUGAAUAAAGUCAAUCUCCUAUUCAUAAAUCAUACAGCGUGGUUAUACUGCGUGUCCAUGGUGACAUAAAACAAAGGAUUCCCUAGGUUUCCUUUCCUUAGAUGUCGGGACUAAAGUCACUGUAAAUAAGACUUUCAUCUCAAGAGAAGACAUGUUAAACGCUCCCUUACUUAGAACAUAUUCCUGAUAUAAGCCUAGGCCAUACCCCCAAACAACUAAUUCAUUCAUUUUCAGUAAAUUAAAAUUGCCCUGGCUGGCUACUUUUUCUAUUUGGCUGGCUACUCUAUGUACUUGUGGAAAACAC